This 55-nucleotide transfer RNA is filed under the name Mesocricetus auratus (golden hamster). The record is from Rfam by way of RNAcentral. Lineage: Eukaryota; Metazoa; Chordata; Mammalia; Rodentia; Cricetidae.
AAACAUAUAGCUCAGUGACAGAGCACUUGACUGAUACUCAAUGGCCCUAAGUUUG